AUACGGAGGAUGCAAGCGUUAUCCGGAUUUAUUGGGUUUAAAGGGUGCGUAGGCGGAUGAUUAAGCGUGAGGUGAAAUGCCACUGCUCAACAGUGGAACUGCCUCGCGAACUGGUUGUCUUGAAUGCUCCUGCCGUGGGAGGAAUGUGUGGUGUAGCGGUGAAAUGCAUAGAGAUCACACAGAACACCGAUUGCGAAGGCAUCUCACGAAGGGGUGAUUGACGCUGAGGCACGAAAGCGUGGGGAUCAAACAGGAUUAGAUACCCUGGUAGUCCACGCAGUAAACGAUGAUAACUAACCGCUGGGUCGUAGUGAUUCAGUGGCCAAGCGAAAACGAUAAGUUAUCCACCUGGGGGGUACGACCGCAAGGUUGAAACUCAAAUGAAUUGACGGGG
This 394-nucleotide ribosomal RNA is filed under the name uncultured bacterium. RNAcentral's name for it is "partial 16S ribosomal RNA". It matches the Rfam family "Bacterial small subunit ribosomal RNA", at positions 523 to 918 of the family's 1533-position model. The record is from RNAcentral.